UGCGUAGGCGGGUAGGUAAGUCAGUGGUGAAAUCUCAGAGCUUAACUCUGAAACUGCCAUUGAUACUAUUUAUCUUGAAUAUUGUGGAGGUAAGCGGAAUAUGUCAUGUAGCGGUGAAAUGCUUAGAUAUGACAUAGAACACCCAUUGCGAAGGCAGCUUACUACACAUAUAUUGACGCUGAGGCACGAAAGCGUGGGGAUCAAACAGGAUUAGAUACCCUGGUAGUCCACGCCCUAAACGAUGAUUACUCGACAUACGCAAUACACCGUGUGUGUCUGAGCGAAAGCAUUAAGUAAUCCACCUGGGAAGUACGACCGCAAGGUUGAA
This 328-nucleotide ribosomal RNA is filed under the name uncultured bacterium. RNAcentral describes it as "bacterial SSU rRNA". It matches the Rfam family "Bacterial small subunit ribosomal RNA", at positions 568 to 898 of the family's 1533-position model. The record is from RNAcentral.